Molecule: long non-coding RNA, 312 nt
Organism: Homalodisca vitripennis (glassy-winged sharpshooter)
Lineage: Eukaryota; Metazoa; Arthropoda; Insecta; Hemiptera; Cicadellidae
Exons: 3
Source: RefSeq, a predicted model, not a curated record
CGAGUGUCAGUAUCGAUUGUGUAGUGGACCCAAGAACACAGCGCGGGGAGUAAGCCUCCAGCACCUCACAGAAACUAUUCACUAAACCCGUGAAAUGAAACUAGGCUGACAACUGGAGGGGGCUGUAGUCAUUCCUCGCAGGAUGGAAUGUAACGGGAACCUGCCGGAAAAGGCGAUGUCCAGCAGCGUAGAGGACCUCAGUGACUACACGGACGCUGACGAGAGCAUCUCUGCCCCUACAGAAAUACUUGCUGAGGUAGGUGUUUCAUAGAUCAGUUUAUUGUCUCUGUUACACCAGGAUCCCUACAUAUU